RNAcentral lists this long non-coding RNA (313 nucleotides) under Zostera marina. RNAcentral's name for it is "long non-coding RNA (ZMAR_LNC005413)". Lineage: Eukaryota; Viridiplantae; Streptophyta; Magnoliopsida; Alismatales; Zosteraceae. The record is from RNAcentral.
AGAGAGAGAGUGUACUGGGCGUAUCCUUCUGAGAAUACCGGUGAUGUGCCCCCUUAUUUUAUGUUGGCACUUCACCGUAUCUAUUUCACUAACUUUCCGAUCCUUCCGAUCCCUUCUCUAGUUAGUGAAAUCCUUUUGUAUUCUGGAUUAUGUAUUUCUCAGAUGGGUGCCGCCUUUUUCUUUUAUGUCAGGGGCUUCAUUAAUAUUCUCAGGGAUGCUGGCAUAAUCCCAACUGCUCGGCUGUUCUUCCACUUCUUUACUUUUCAAAAUCCGAAGAAGGGCAGCCCUUUCAUUGCAUGUGCCAGCCGUGCCU